RNAcentral lists this ribosomal RNA (301 nucleotides) under uncultured bacterium. Its description in RNAcentral is "partial 16S ribosomal RNA". It matches the Rfam family "Bacterial small subunit ribosomal RNA", at positions 509 to 807 of the family's 1533-position model. The record is from RNAcentral.
CAGUCGCCGCGGGAAUACGAAGGGGGCUAGCGUUGUUCGGAAUUACUGGGCGUAAAGCGCACGUAGGCGGAUACUUAAGUUAGGGGUGAAAUCCCAGGGCUCAACCCUGGAACUGCCUUUAAUACUGGGUAUCUAGAGUAUGGUAGAGGUGAGUGGAAUUCCGAGUGUAGAGGUGAAAUUCGUAGAUAUUCGGAGGAACACCAGUGGCGAAGGCGGCUCACUGGACCAUUACUGACGCUGAGGUGCGAAAGCGUGGGGAGCAAACAGGAUUAGAGACCCGCGUAGUCCCUGUCUCUUAUAC